RNAcentral lists this ribosomal RNA (408 nucleotides) under Bacillus sp. HPC676. RNAcentral's name for it is "bacterial SSU rRNA". It matches the Rfam family "Bacterial small subunit ribosomal RNA", at positions 82 to 473 of the family's 1533-position model. Lineage: Bacteria; Bacillati; Bacillota; Bacilli; Caryophanales; Bacillaceae. The record is from RNAcentral.
UCUCAAGAAGUUAGCGACGGACGGGUGAGUAACACGUGGGUAACCUGCCCAUAAGACUGGGAUAACUCCGGGAAACCGGGGCUAAUACCGGGAUAACAUUUUUAACUGGGNNGGUUNNAAAUUGAAAGGCGUCUUCUGCUGUCACUUAUGGAUGGACCCGCGUCGCAUUAACUAGUUGGUGAGGUAACGGCUCACCAAGGCAACGAUGCGUAGCCGACCUGAGAGGGUGAUCGGCCACACUGGGACUGAGACACGGCCCAUACUCCUACGGGAGGCAGCAGUAGGGAAUCUUCCGCAAUGGACGAAAGUCUGACGGAGCAACUCCGCGUGAGUGAUGAAAGCUUUUUGGUCGUAAAACUCUUUUGUUAGGGAAGAACAAGUGCUAGUUGAAUAAGCUGGCACCUUGAC